AUUGUUUCCAGCAGGCAGGUGGAGGAGGUGACGCUGCAGGUGGAGGAGGUGGAGCUGCAGGUGGAGGAGAUCUCCGUUCGGUGGCUCAGAUCCCACACAGCUUCACAUCUGAUGAACUCAGCCACACCAAUGGGAAUAAAUCAAGAGAGAAGUAGAAUUAUUUUCUCAUAGACUUCUAUUGGAGCAGAGGAGUCGCCCCCCGCUGGGCAACGGCGUGUUGUGAGGCUGUUUGGCGGUUUGUGAUGUAAUGAUUACACGCCCCUCGUUUAGUAUCGAUGACGCAGCCAGACGAGACUUUCACACAAACAGUGAAAAGAAAAAAGCUGCUCUCUCUCAACGACGUUGUUCUGAUGGAGAAGUAGAAUCCACCUGACUCAUGCCAGUGAAGUAAAAACAUCUGCAUUGUGACAUCUGGAGAAAAAAACAGUCAUCGAGCAACAAUUCUCUCGUCUCAGGAAUCAGC
Molecule: long non-coding RNA, 463 nt
Organism: Gasterosteus aculeatus aculeatus (three-spined stickleback)
Lineage: Eukaryota; Metazoa; Chordata; Actinopteri; Perciformes; Gasterosteidae
Source: Ensembl